GCAAAUGACUGGACAGCAGGCGCGGUAGUACGUGUGUGGCAUGCGUUGUCCGGGAGUAUUGGGCGUAAAGCGCGGUGAGGGGGUCCUUUAAGUCUGAUGGGAAAGCCCACGGCUGAACCGUGGAGGGUCAUUGGAAACUGGGGGACUUGAGGGCAGAAGAGGAAAGCGGAAUUCCACGUGUAGCGGUGAAAUGCGUAGAGAUGUGGAGGAACACCAGUGGCGAAGGCGGCUUUCUGGUCUGUAACUGACGCUGAGGCGCGAAAGCGUGGGGAGCAAACAGGAUUAGAUACCCUAGUAGUC
RNAcentral lists this ribosomal RNA (300 nucleotides) under uncultured Lactobacillus sp. RNAcentral describes it as "bacterial SSU rRNA". It matches the Rfam family "Bacterial small subunit ribosomal RNA", at positions 496 to 795 of the family's 1533-position model. The record is from RNAcentral. Lineage: Bacteria; Bacillati; Bacillota; Bacilli; Lactobacillales; Lactobacillaceae.